UACGAAGGGGGCUAGCGUUGUUCGGAAUCACUGGGCGUAAAGGGCGCGUAGGCGGCUUGAUAAGUCGGGGGUGAAAGCCUGUGGCUCAACCUCAGGCCUGCGCGGGAUAUUGCUUGGCUAGAGUCCGGAAGAGGAGAGUGGAAUUCCUGGUGUAGCGGUGGAAUGCGCAGAUAUCAGGAGGAACAUCCGUGGCGAAGGCGGCUCUCUGGGACGGUACUGACGCUGAGACGCGAAAGCGUGGGGAGCGAACAGG
This 253-nucleotide ribosomal RNA is filed under the name uncultured bacterium. Its description in RNAcentral is "partial 16S ribosomal RNA". It matches the Rfam family "Bacterial small subunit ribosomal RNA", at positions 524 to 776 of the family's 1533-position model. The record is from RNAcentral.